RNAcentral lists this unclassified non-coding RNA (775 nucleotides) under Hevea brasiliensis (rubber tree). The record is from RNAcentral. Lineage: Eukaryota; Viridiplantae; Streptophyta; Magnoliopsida; Malpighiales; Euphorbiaceae.
AGAAAGCAAAAACUACUUACAUCGCAUUUUGAAGUCUGUACAAAAGAGCAGCAAGAAUUUGAAGUCAUAGGUGGCUGUAUUGCUCUACUCCAUAUUCUUCAAAAACUUUACUCUCCAGCAACAUAAUUGCUUUCGUUGCCUUCAGCACUUCUUAUAUCCCAUCCCACAAGUACUUGCAUCUUCUAUAUUCUAGGUUAGUGUUUUCUUUAGAACAAGCUGCCCCACUCGGUCGUACUUCUCCAUAAAUUUACAUUCCCAGUCUAGCAGAAUUUGAAGUUCAGCAUCACCAAGGCCUUCAAGGUUUCCAUUAAUAUCUUCAGGUUUGAAUGAUAACAGAGCCAAGGCUCGGCUUGCAUCUCUUCCAGCAAACAUUGCAUAUGAACUACCAGGACCAUAGAACAUCUUGGAGGUAGAGACGUCGUAGAUCUUCCCUCUAAUAGCCAUCAGCAAAGGUUUUUCUGAGUCAGAACCAUUAUAAGCCCUAAGUUCCUCUUCCGUCAUGUCGCCGAGAUUGAGAGACUGUUUUUUGACAGGGACAAAGUCAUCAGGAGAGAGGAACAUGGAACAAACCACUUUGUAAGUCACCAGCAUCAUCGCUAAAAUGGUGAAGAACGCCGUCGCCGAUAACCCUGUGUACUCGAAGAUGAUCUCGGUCGUCGUUGCCCAUACCGUCGCCAUUAGUUUGGUGGAGAAAACGGUCAAGGACUUGUAGUUGGUGAUCGUUUCUCCAAGAUGCUACCCGCAACAGCUAGAGAUGAGAAAAAAAAGGUUUAAA